GGAGACUUAGCUUAGUUAUCAAAAAUGUUUGCCUAGUAUGUAUAAGGUCCUGGGUUUGAUUCCCAGAGCUGCCA
This 74-nucleotide transfer RNA is filed under the name Mesocricetus auratus (golden hamster). It matches the Rfam family "tRNA". Rfam says of the family: Transfer RNA (tRNA) molecules are approximately 80 nucleotides in length. Their secondary structure includes four short double-helical elements and three loops (D, anti-codon, and T loops). Further hydrogen bonds mediate the characteristic L-shaped molecular structure. tRNAs have two regions of fundamental functional importance: the anti-codon, which is responsible for specific mRNA codon recognition, and the 3' end, to which the tRNAs corresponding amino acid is attached (by aminoacyl-tRNA synthetases). tRNAs cope with the degeneracy of the genetic code in two manners: having more than one tRNA (with a specific anti-codon) for a particular amino acid; and 'wobble' base-pairing, i.e. permitting non-standard base-pairing at the 3rd anti-codon position. Lineage: Eukaryota; Metazoa; Chordata; Mammalia; Rodentia; Cricetidae. The record is from Rfam by way of RNAcentral.